This 406-nucleotide ribosomal RNA is filed under the name uncultured bacterium. Its description in RNAcentral is "partial 16S ribosomal RNA". It matches the Rfam family "Bacterial small subunit ribosomal RNA", at positions 29 to 526 of the family's 1533-position model. The record is from RNAcentral.
AUUGAACGCUGGCGGCAGGCCUAACACAUGCAGGUCGAGCGAGCGGCGGACGGGUGAGUAAUGUCUGGGAAACUGCCUGAUGGAGGGGGAUAACUACUGGAAAAGGUAGCUAAUACCGCAUACCAUCAGAUGUGCCCAGAUGGGAUUAGCUAUGAGGUGGGGUAAUGGCUCACCUAGCCGACAAUCCCUAGCUGGUCUGAGAGGAUGACCAGCCACACGGGAACUGAGACACGGUCAAGACGCUUACGGAGGGGAGCAGUGGGGAAUAUUGGACAAUGGGGGCAAGCCGGAUGCAGCCAUGCCGCGUGUGUGAAGAAGGCCGUCGGGUUGUAAAGCACUUGCAGCGAGGAGGCGUUGGUCGCAGAAGAAGCACCGGCUAACUCCGUGCGAGCAGCCGCGGUAAUAC